RNAcentral lists this ribosomal RNA (497 nucleotides) under uncultured bacterium. Its description in RNAcentral is "partial 16S ribosomal RNA". It matches the Rfam family "Bacterial small subunit ribosomal RNA", at positions 28 to 507 of the family's 1533-position model. The record is from RNAcentral.
GACGAACGCUGGCGGCGUGCCUAAUACAUGCAAGUUGAGCGCUGAAGGUUGGUACUUGUACCAACUGGAUGAGCAGCGAACGGGUGAGUAACGCGUGGGGAAUCUGCCUUUGAGCGGGGGACAACAUUUGGAAACGAAUGCUAAUACCGCAUAAAAACUUUAAACACAAGUUUUAAGUUUGAAAGAUGCAAUUGCAUCACUCAAAGAUGAUCCCGCGUUGUAUUAGCUAGUUGGUGAGGUAAAGGCUCACCAAGGCGAUGACACAUAGCCGACCUGAGAGGGUGAUCGGCCACAUUGGGACUGAGACACGGCCCAAACUCCUACGGGAGGCAGCAGUAGGGAAUCUUCGGCAAUGGACGAAAGUCUGACCGAGCAACGCCGCGUGAGUGAAGAAGGUUUUCGGAUCGUAAAACUCUGUUGGUAGAGAAGAGCGUUGGUGAGAGUGGAAAGCUCAUCAAGUGACGGUAACUACCCAGAAAGGGACGGCUAACUACGUG